This 442-nucleotide ribosomal RNA is filed under the name uncultured Bacteroidales bacterium. Its description in RNAcentral is "bacterial SSU rRNA". It matches the Rfam family "Bacterial small subunit ribosomal RNA", at positions 97 to 536 of the family's 1533-position model. Lineage: Bacteria; Pseudomonadati; Bacteroidota; Bacteroidia; Bacteroidales. The record is from RNAcentral.
GGCGAAUGGGUGAGUAACACGUAUGCAACUUACCUCUUAGUGGUGAAUAACUCGAUGAAAGUCGGACUAAUACACCAUACUCUCCUUAGAUCACAUGAGAAGAGGAGGAAAGAUUAAUCGCUAAGAGAUAGGCCUGCGUUCCAUUAGCUAGUUGGUAAGGUAAUGGCUUACCAAGGCAACGAUGGAUAGGGGGACUGAGAGGUUGACCCCCCACAUUGACACUGAGAUACGGGUCAAACUCCUACGGGAGGCAGCAGUGAGGAAUAUUGGUCAAUGGGCGAGAGCCUGAACCAGCCAAGUCGCGUGAAGGAAGACUGCCCGCAAGGGUUGUAAACUUCUUUUGUAUGGGAUUAAAGUCGUCUACGUGUAGACGUUUGCAGUUACCAUACGAAUAAGCAUCGGCUAACUCCGUGCCAGCAGCCGCGGUAAAAGGGCGAAUUCG